Molecule: ribosomal RNA, 119 nt
Filed under: fern environmental sample
Lineage: Eukaryota; Viridiplantae; Streptophyta; Polypodiopsida
Description: partial 18S ribosomal RNA
Source: RNAcentral
UUGGAUCUCGGGGCGGGGUGAGCGGUCCGCCUCUUUUGGUGUGCACUGGUCGCUCCGCCCUUUCUGUCGGGGACGCGCUCUUGGCCUUCAUUGGCUGGGACGUGGAUUCGGCGAUGUUA